RNAcentral lists this unclassified non-coding RNA (351 nucleotides) under soil metagenome. Its description in RNAcentral is "partial contains 5.8S ribosomal RNA, internal transcribed spacer 2, and large subunit ribosomal RNA". The stretch from base 1 to 120 matches the Rfam family "5.8S ribosomal RNA", at positions 35 to 154 of the family's 154-position model. The record is from RNAcentral.
GAUGAAGAACGUAGCGAAAUGCGAUAAGUAAUGUGAAUUGCAGAAUUCAGUGAAUCAUCGAAUCUUUGAACGCACAUUGCGCCCGCGAGUAUUCUCGCGGGCAUGCCUGUCCGAGCGUCAUUUCAACCUUCAGGGCCCGCCUGCUUGCAGGCGCGGCGCUGGUGUUGGGGAUCGGCUACCCUGCCGUCCCCCAAAUACAGUGGCGGUCUCGCUGCAGCCUCCCCUGCGUAGUAGCAACACUCGCAUGCGGAGCGCGGCGCGGCCACGCCGUAAAACCCCCGACUUUCUGAACGUUGACCUCGGAUCAGGUAGGAAUACCCGCUGAACUUAAGCAUAUCAAUAAGCGGAGGA